This 253-nucleotide ribosomal RNA is filed under the name uncultured bacterium. RNAcentral describes it as "partial 16S ribosomal RNA". It matches the Rfam family "Bacterial small subunit ribosomal RNA", at positions 524 to 776 of the family's 1533-position model. The record is from RNAcentral.
UACGUAGGGGGCAAGCGUUGUCCGGAAUCAUUGGGCGUAAAGAGCACGCAGGCGGUUUGGCAAGUCGGAUGUGAAAACCCGGAGCUCAACUCCGGACCUGCAUCCGAAACUGCCCGACUAGAGGUAGGUAGGGGAGAUCGGAAUUCCUGGUGUAGCGGUGAAAUGCGUAGAUAUCGGAAGGAACACCGGUGGCGAAAGCGGCGCGCUGGACCUCUUCUGACGCUGAGGCGCGAAAGCCAGGGGAGCGAACGGG